RNAcentral lists this unclassified non-coding RNA (3015 nucleotides) under Hevea brasiliensis (rubber tree). Lineage: Eukaryota; Viridiplantae; Streptophyta; Magnoliopsida; Malpighiales; Euphorbiaceae. The record is from RNAcentral.
CAAUGUCUUGCCUGUACUGCAGAGGUUGGUAGUGCCUUCACUUUCUUCUCCAAAAUCCAAAUAUGAGAUUAAGUUGGUCUUUCAAAUUUUUGUUUGUGGGAAUUAGGAUUCUAGUUUCAAUAUGCUACUAUCUGGUCAGGCAUCACAUCUCAACAAUGAUAUUAUUUAGGAUAAUAACAUGCAUUGGCAUUUGUGAUACAUGAGAAUGUACAUAUACGUGUUAGCUAAUACUUCUACGGUUAAAUCAUCUGCCUAAGCCCAAUAAUUCCACAGGUGAAUUUUAGCAUUGUUAUUUUAAUUUAAUUUAAUUUAAUUUUCCUUUACAAUUGUGCGGCCCCUGAUUGCAGAUUCCGCCGCCCCCCCAUUCCAAAUACAUCUCAAAAACCUGCAACCAUACAUCGAAGACGAAGGAUUUGGGAUUUCUCUCUGAAUCGUUGAGAAAUGGCUGGCACGUGCACCACUGGCGGCGGCGUCAGUGCUGGUGGAGGAGCCCGAGAGAUCAUGCUGUUUGGUGUCAGAGUGGUGGUUGAUUCCUUGAGGAAGAGCGUCAGUUUGAACAACUUAUCGCAGUAUGAGCAGCCUCAAGAGUUGAAUAAAUCUAACACUAAUAAGGAUGGAACCAAUAAUACUAGCAAGGAGGAUGUGGCCACUGCUGCUGCUGCUGGUUAUGCAUCUGCAGACGACGCCGUUCCUCACUCCUCUAAUAGUCGCGGCGAGCGCAAGCGAGGUGCGAUUCCGAUCUCCAAUCACUCAAGCCAAAAUGAAAAGACUAAAUUUUAUUCUCAGAUUUGCUUUCUACAACUCAUUGACUUGUUUAAUAUGUGUUUUUGUUUAUAUUAUUAUUCAAAUCUAUAAAUCGCUGUUUUCCAUGCACUGAUCAUUAUUUAUUUUUUAAUUCUGAAAUUUUCAGUAUGGAAGUCUUUCAAUUAGAUGUAGCUAAUGAGUAAAAAAAUUUUGGCUAAUGAUGAUAUGGAUGACGAGCAGGAGUUCCGUGGACAGAGGACGAGCACAAGCUGUUCCUUUUAGGAUUGCAGAAGGUAGGGAAAGGAGAUUGGAGGGGAAUCUCUCGCAAUUUUGUCAAGACUCGAACUCCAACGCAGGUCGCAAGCCACGCCCAAAAGUAUUUUCUUCGCCGGAGCAAUCUCAAUCGCCGCCGACGCCGUUCUAGCCUUUUUGAUAUUACCACUGAAACGGUUCGAUCUCUUAUACUUACAUAUUUUCAUUUUUCUUGAAAUCUGAUCUCCUGUUUGUUUGUAUGCUGAGAAAAGUAGAGGAAAUAAGAAAAGAAACGACUUUUAUUAGCCUUUAUUAUUGAUUUAUUUAAUGCGAGGAAAUUGAUUCAAAUCUAGGUGAAUAGUUUAGUAUGGAUCGGCUGAUCUGAGGCUGUAUUCUUAUUCUGUUGUAGACAAUUGCAACUUUAAAAAAGGUCUAAGCUGGAAUAUUAAUAUCAUUUAUGUUUUUAUGCGAUAAAGAUCGAGAUUUUUAAUUUCUUAGGAUCCUCUUCUUGGUUGUUAAGAUAAACAGGAAAGCGAAAAUCACACAGAGUUUUGAUUUCUUGGAAGUGAAACUUUUUUUUUUUCCUCUGAGAAUGCCAAAAAUUAUAGCAAGGUAAGUUGUAUGAUUAUGAUAUUGUCUCCUUUUCUAUAUUUUAAACUAUGAAUGCUGGAUUUAACAUCUACUAAUAUUUUGUUGGUUUUCCAUUAUUUAUCUCCUAAAAAGUUUUUGAGCAUUUAGCGUUGACCUUGUAUUCUUAAUCAGGUCUCAGCACUUCCAAUGGAGGAAGCGCUAGCUCAUUGCCAAGACAACAAGAACAACAUGCCUCAGUCGCAUCAAUUGCCACCUCCAUUACCUGAAAACAACAAUAUCGGCAACUGCCCUGUGAUGCCGGCUUUCCCUAUGACCACCAAUCCUGUUGUAUUGCCUGUCCCAAUUGAGAGUCCAGCUGAAAACUUGUCACUGGGACAAGGCAAUCCUGCCGCAAACCCCUCAGCAAAUCUCGUCCGACCAAUUCCUGUCCUCCCAACCCCUCAUGCUUCUGGAGUAUCUGACCUUUACUUAAAUUUGAAGUCAUCUGUUGACUCAUCGCCAUUGUCACUUAAACUCUCUUUGCCGUCCUAUCAGAGAGAAUCUGUGGACCCAUCAUCAAGGCAUUCGGUUCUUCAGGUGAUGUCGAGCUUCAACAAUGGAGAUGGCAUCAUCAGUGUUGCUUGAAGAAGGAUAAGAAGUUUGAAAGGAGGAGGUGCAUAAUUAGAUGGGUAUGGGUUAGAGAUGAUAAAAAGUAAAUUAGAUGACCGGAAAAUUAAAUCCUUUCUUUGAUGUACAGACCAGAAAAGGAAUUGUCAUCGCAUUUGUUGUUGGUUUAUGGUUAGGUUCUUGUUCUUUUGUUUGUAGUUUGAUAUGACUGGAAGAAAUAAGCCGUAGUAGUGUGUUCAUUACUGCUGGAUUUUGUUCUUUUAACUUGGAAUGAUUUUCAUUACUUGGAAAAAUAUCAGCUGGGUUUUGUGGCAGAGGCAUUUUUCAUUAAUGAAUGGAUAAAAAUUCUCAGGGAUUGAUUAAUUGUGGGCGUCAUGAAUAUGAAUUUUUUAUUCAUUAAUGGCUAUGGAUGGACCACUCGUUAUGAGAUGGUGAUUUUAUAUUGAAGGAAGAAAGCAUUUGAGUGGUUGGUAGCAUCUUAUUAGACUGAUUAGAUGUUGAAUUAGUAAAAUUAGGAUUGCUGUUAUUAUUGCUCGAGGAUGUUAAUUUUGUAAGUCAGUUUGCCCCUGUGGUUAUGUUUCUAUGUUGGGAAAGCAUUUCAUGACUCCAGAGAAGAAAAGGAAAUUUCCAAAUCUCAUCUCAGCAUUGAGAUGGAAAAACAGUUUGAGCUGAUGAUAUAUAAAAUACCCACGGUCACAACCAGGCCAAAUUUCCUCUGUAGACUCUAAUGAUGUAGUCAUGAGUAAAUGUCAUGACGAUCGGCUGACGGUUACACGUUUGGUGCCAUUCAUUUUCAGUCUUAUGAUAAAUUAUGAGCUGAUG